UUUUAAUCUGUAUUUUGAAAAAGUCAAAGGUAAAUAUCCGGUCACGCACUGUGACUUAAAAAAGGACGAUGGUUGGCGUUCCUACACCGGCCACCUGGAAUGGAGCUCGGAUGUGUUACGGCGUCGAUUGAUGACACUGAAAGAUGUUCAAGUCAGGUGCACCUGGAAUAUGAAGACCCCAAAAUAAAUAAAUAAAUAAAAACCCCGCAAAGCUUCUACUGCAAUAGAGUGAAGCCCGAGACCUGGCAGGUGCCCGCUGGUUUUUAGGGCGUACACCUGCACUUUGUUCGCUCACUUGAAUUUGAUCUGCCUUUUUUUUUUUUUUUUUUUAAAAAGCAGGUCUGACUGGUUUUACGGCGCGCUCCACAUUUUUAAAUCCCUGCUUUACUAACACAACAGAUAGAGCGAGUGGGUUAGACACCUUGUUUUUUUUGUUGUUGUUUUUUUUUUUUUUUUUUUUAAAUUAGCAUUACAUUGGAUUAAGUUGACAUUGUUGCACAGGGUCCUGGUUCAUAUAAAAAUCCAGGACAUCUGUUUAUUUGCCCUAACCACAGAGUUAAUGCUAAACACAACAGCGGUGCAGGAGGAGUGCGAUGUCUGCGGCCCUGCUGACGCGCUGUCUUCCCGCUGACCCGUGCUGUAGCGCAUCUGAAAGCCGGAUUCCCAACAGAUGUCUCGCACGCUAUUAUUGCACCUACUUUAUCUGGCAUCGUCUUACAGAUGACACCAUCUCUUCUACACCUAGCAGAGAAUGCCUGUUUCUAAUACACUUCCCAGUCACACAGAGGAUUAUUUCUGCUUCUUCUUCUUCUUCCAUUUAUUUGUGCACAGUGGUGAUGUUGGGGUUUGGCAGUGUUCUUGCACUCACACAUUCGCACUCGCUCUAGAUGGGAUGGUUUCUGUUUUGGGCUCUGAAAUGUAGUGAAUUGAGGCAGACGAGCCGAGAGCUGCUAGUUUCUGAUUCGUUCUCACCUGCCUCCGACACUGGAGAUUGUUCAUCAUUAUUUAUGGCGCAGAUAUGACUCUUUUUUUUUUUUUUACCCUUAGGGUUUUGUCAGCAUGUUGUUUUUCGUCUCUGUCUCCCUCAGCAGGGUGAAUACGCGGAGUUUAUUUAGCUCCUGUCAAUCUACACGGUCUCUUUGUUGCCUUCUUAUCCUGUUAUUUUCCAUCUGACAGCAUAAGUAUUGUUUAUACGAAGCGAAUAUUUGGAUGGCGUGCUUUAUGAUAUUUACAAUUCGGUCUGAUUUUGAUUUCAGGGUGCCAUGUCGAGGUUUACCAAAAACGGUUUUUCGUGCAUCACUGAUCAUUUCCCGGCAUUCUGAGAAACACGAGCCCUGAUUAGAGCCGUCGUUUGCGUGUCGGUUAUUUUGUGAGAGUAAUUGGACUAUAAAAUGACUCUUAACCCGUCGUUUCAUUUCCCUCAUGUUCCUUUUUAAGCAUUUUCUGAAUGACGUUCGUUGUUCUUCGUCGGCACUGUUGUGUCCGCUAUGUAAACAUCAACAGACUAAACAUGACGUAUGUUGUAUUUAUUGUGUAUUUUAUAUAGUUAAAAUAUGUUUUUUUUUUUUUUUUUUUUGCCAUAGUGCCAACGCCCUCUUCGAGUCACGUGCAUCGAACAUGAGUACAGCUAAAAGGUCUCAUUUUACGAACAACCAUCACUGUGAAAAACAGUGGGGAAAUGUCAGUGGAACAAAACUAUUUCCUAGAAUUGCGAUUUUCACCAAUUCAAGUAGUUUUCUGCAAAAAAAAAAAAAAACGCUAAUUGCGUUGCUGCGGACAAAAAAAAUACUGUUUGCAAUCACAAAAAAAAAACCCUCUACAAAAUCCUGUAUGGACUGAUGCGUACAUGGUGUCCCAAAAGUCUCCAUACGUAGAGGACCAUGUACGCCAGCACCACGUCAGUGGAUGUCCGUGGACGUCCACGUCUCGUUUAGUCCGCAACACUUCCUGUCUUUUUCAAUUUGUUAAUGAGUAUGGCAACAGUGUCUCGUGUGUGUGUGUGAUGUGCUUGAUAUCGAUAAGUAUGAUAUUUUUUUUCGAAGACGACAUCUUAAAAAGUGCUCAUUUCCCCAAAUGUAUGGAGUGGAGACUUUGGGGACUCACAGGUUUUUGUUUCACGUGUUUAAAAAGUAGCAUUACUGUCUUAGGGUCCGCACUUGUAUAGCGCACUUUUUUUGGGGGGGGGGGUGUAACCUCAGCGGGUCUACAAAGUGCACUACACUGUUUCUCAUUCACACACACACACACACUCGCACAGCAAUGGCUGCAGAGCUGCCACGCAAGGCGCUAGCUUGCCAUGGGGAGCAACUUGGGGUUCAGUGUCUUACCCAAGGAUACUUCGGUGUGUAUGGAGUCACGUGGGCCGGGAAUCAAACCGCCAACCCUACGAUUAGUGGACACUAAUCUAAGCGCUGUACCACCUGAGCCACAGACGACCAAUUUUGCGGUUAAUUUGACACACAUCACGUAUCUGAGAAAUGUCUUCAACCCACUCCUAGUGUGCAUGUAUAUACGUAUGUGUUUGUAUGUAUUUGUGUGCGUGUGUGUGCGCCAGAGACUCUCACCUCCUUUCCUUAAUUCUCAUCAUCCCCCCGUCUUCUUUCUUGUCUAGUGUCUUACAUGUUCUCAACACUGACAAUUCCCUCCAUUGAGACCUCACGAUGACGCUCACUCAUGGUUAGCGCCACCACCAAUCUUUCUAGGUGUUUUUCCGAGCUUCUAGCAGGGUCACGUUAGUGGAGAUCACUCUGCUCAGAUCGUACACCUCUUAAUCUGUGAGGGUUUCUGUGAUCGUACUUUUAAUUGGAGGCACCCAGGUUCUGAUGGGUUUAAAACUAGACGUGGGCUACAAUUUAUUCAUUCUCUCCUGUACAUGCUUUCUCGCCUGCCUCUAUUUAUGUUCAUACCCUUAUUUGGUUAUCCAAAUACCCUUAAUCUUCUGCAGUCCUUUUUCCCUAUAAAAAAAAAGACCUGUUGAAUAGCUUGAGUAUGAGAGAAGUGUCUCGUUAAAAAUGUUUGCUUUUUUAUUUAUUUAAUUUUUAUAUCUCCAUCGCCGUAGAAGCCCUGGUGAGAGCAAGGAGAAUAAAAUCCAGCCUCACAGCCAUGCUCAGGCAAAGAACAGCUUGGUCUCGCUUCACCUAAAACAUAUAUAAACGCAGUCUUCCUGUCUGAUGUUUAAAUUCCUCACGUAGUCUUUAAGUGAAGGCCAUCUCAUGCCGGCUUUAAAUCUCUCCUGUUAAACACAGAGACAGAGGUCUCUUAAGUACCACCAUGAUUUUUUAAUGAAGUGGUAAUGGCACAAGCCUUGAUCCCCGCUGGUCUGUACGCGGCAGCAGGAAAGUGGAAGGCAAGUGACUCCGAGACUUCUUCACCAUGACCUUCAGAAUAGCAGCCCACAAUGGCUGCGUGCUGGGCACAAUUAAAGGCUAGCAGAGGAAGAAAUGAACUCUGGAGGGUGUGUCAGACUUAAGUCUAGGAUUUGUGACCCUGCUGGUUGUUCAUAGCUGAGUGAUUGAUGGUUUGGUACUCUCUUACAUUAAAAAAACAAAACGGUUUUAUAUGAGACCUGAGCCUAAACUAGAAGAUUUGGGCCUUGGUAGUAGCCUGGGUGCUCGGGUUAAAUAGCUUUAUCUUGGCAUGUUUUGUAGUUUCGUAGUUGCCUGGUGGAGUGGUAGGUUCAGCAACCAAAGAAAGACAUAAAAAAAACAAACAAACCUUUGCAUCUUUAAACUUCAUGGUGGUGUGGUGCAAUGCAACUUGUUUCAUGCGGUGGUAGCUCAGUGGUUAAGUUGUUGGGACUACUGCUCAGAAGGUCGCGAGUUCAAACCUCUGAAACGCCAAGACGCCAUUGUUGGGCCCUUGAGCAAGGCCCCUUAUCCCUCAACUGCUCAGGUCUUUACUGCAGCGGUCUUCAGUUGCUGCUCGUUUGUUGGUCUUUCUGCCUUCCGUUUUGUCUUCAGGAAGUGAAAAGCAUGCUCAAUAGGGUCAGGGUCAUCAGACAUUUACGAACAAUUUUAAUUUCUUUGCCUUAAGAAGCUCUAGGGUUGCUUUCGUGGGUCAUUAUCCAUCUGUACUGUGAAGCGCCGUCCUAUCGGUUUUGGAGCAUUUAACCGAAUCUGAGAACCCAUAGUUCUGUACGCUUCAGAAUUCGUCCUGCUAGUUCUAUCAGCAGUCGCGUCAUCAAUCAACACCAAUGGAUCAGUUUUUUUUUUGUUUAAAAGCAAAUUGUUGAUUUGGCCCCUGCUAAAGAUUCUGCUAUGUCUCUGCUAGGUCUGUUUUUUGUUUUUUCAGCCUAAUGUUGGCCUCCUUCACUUGCAUCGACACCUCCCUUAUUGAGAAUUCCCAUGAACCACAUGCUACCACAUGCGAAUUCAACGAUCGGCAUCAACUACAGACCUUUUUAAUCUCCUCAAUUUGUCAUGAUAUAGUGAGGAAACGGGCCACACCUGGCCACGAAACCGCUCAUCGGUCAAUUGUCCACUUACGUUUGAGCCCGUGGAAAUGAUAGGGACUCCGUGGCUGUGAUUCCCGAACGGUUCAUGUAAUAUUUUUGUUCAACCCCUUGAAUUAAAGUUGAAAGUCUACACUCCAAUCACGCCAAUCUUGAUUGAUUCAUUUUCAAAUUCUCCGUGGUGGCGUACAGAGGCAAAGGUACAAAAAUGGUGUCAUUUUGUACUGUUGAACACUGUGUAAGGCCGGAAGGGGAAAGCUUCAGUAUAUGGGGAAAAACUGUGGGCGGGUCUUUGGCCGUAUUUCUUUUAAACUGGCGUGUGGCAUGUACGUUUAAUUCGAACCUGACAUUUUGAAACUGACAGCUCAGACUGUGAUUUAUUCUGAAUUACUAGUGCAGGAUUCCCAGAGUGACGUGCACCAGCUCGGAGUGGGAACGCAGUAUUUUCCCCCUGACUCAAUAAUGACCCCUCCCCUCCCCUCCAAAAAAAAAAAAAAAAAAAUCCUUCAUGGACUGUAGCUUUAAAUCCGAUUCGAAGAAGUGAAUGAUGCAGCAUCACAUCUGGUUUUAGCUAUUACAUCUGGAAUAUUGCCACAGUGCUGGGCAGUCCAAGGUAUGUGUGUGUGUAGAAAAGAGAGAAAUCGCAGAGCUGUUACUAAUUGAAGAGGUGAGUUUAUGUUAAAAGCUUGAAUUUCUUUCUGGUUAGAGUUCUCAUUCCUGUAAUAACGUCCUCUUUUGUACUCUGUGUCUAUGUGCACGUGUGUUUACGGGAUAACUUUAUUUAGCUACUACACUUUCAUUAUUUCACAGUAAUAUCCAAUGUAUGUUUUGCCUUGUUCAUUUAAUUCUGCAGAAAUUAAAAAAAGAGCCUAAUUACUUUUAGGUAGUCUGCAUGAUGAUGAUGAUGUUCUGGGGGCGUGUGUGCGUGUGUGGAGCAUGUGUGUUGGAACAAUUACUUAUAAGUCAAAGUCAUUUGAUUAAGAAAUUUAAAUUCCCUUGCAACAAUUGACCUUUUAUGAGUGACAGUACUGCAGAAACAUUGUAUCACGGCGACGAUGUGAUGAUAAAAUGAUCGUUAUACCGAAAUGUUCAGAAUUCACUUUUUUUUUUGAGUCAAUUCACUUGAGUCAAGUCUCAAGAUUCUGAGCCGAGCAAAGUCUCUGAGCCGGCGGCCGAGUCGAGUCGCGGGCCUCGGAGCUCAGAGUCUCAAGUCUUUUAGCCAUGAAUCGGAUUGUAAGCUGAAGAACACUGCUAUAUAAUUUCUAAUAUAUCUAAAAUAUCUGUAGAUAUCUUCAACACUGCAGUGCUUUUUCUUUCUGGUUUUUAUGAUUCACUGCCGUGAGCUGCACACAGAUGGCAUGACGCAGAACAGUGCUAUUCUUUUCCUUUGUAAUUUUGGCAGUCCUUUUAUUUAUUUAUUAGACAUUUAUUAGCCACACCCAGGGCCGCUGUGACUCAGGUGGUAGAGCGGGUCGUCCACUGAUCGUAGGGUCGGCGGUUCGAUUCCCGGCCCACGUGACUCCACAUGCCGAAGUGUCCUUGGGCGAGACGCCGAACCCCAAGUUGCUCCCGAUGGCGAGUUAGCGCCUUGCGUGGCAGCUCUGCUACCAUUGGGUGUGAGUGGGUGAAUGAGACACAGUGUAAAGCGCUUUGGGUAAAAGCGCUAUAGAAGUGCGCCAUUUACCAUUUGUUCAUGUUUUUAUCAAGGCUGAAAUUUCAGAAGUCUCCAUCCCGAGUCUGAGUCAAGUCCCAAGUCAGUCUUGAGUUGAAUCACAAGUGAAGUCUAAGUUGAGUAAGAGAUUCUCAACAUGCGACCCAAGUGGGACGCGCCUCGACAAAAAAACCUGAGUCUAUGGGUUUGAUAUGGGUUUGAAAAGGUUGUCCAGGCAGCUACUUGUUAUCGUGAGUAGCAUUUCAGCUAGCCAGUGUCAUUAAAGUGCUGGCUAUAGCCACUAUACUCCUCAGGAACGUUUUGUGACCUAAUUCAGUGCCGUAAUGUUUCUCAUAAGGUGAUAACGUCUCUUCCGAUCACUCGCUCCUACAUGCUUCAGGUAUUCAUUAUGUAUUUGCUGUGUUGCACUAUUGGGUGGUCUCAAGCCCUUGGUCAAUUUGUGUUAAAGGCAAAUAUGCAGCAGCGUUUCAUUUCAGUUUGCCGUCGCGGAGAUUUAUCUAGUUCGAGUCGUUUAUCUGAUUUUCAGCGUCCCUGUGGACACAUGAUGGAGCCUGGUGAUGGCAGCGGUGCUGCUUCUGCAGAGCACACUGACAGCUAGAGCAGGAGGGAGAGCGAAAGGAGUAAGAGGAGGCUUUAUCACAGCAGUACAUCCAAAGCAGUACAUCACAUGCGCACAUCCAUCCGCGUCCCUCUUUCAUUCUUUCCCUCCCUCUCGCCGGGUUCAUGCAGGUUCCCUCACAUCAUUCACUUCCGAGCUCUCGCUAUCUGAUGUAGAUGCUGAAUUAGUCUGAGCGUUAAAGGAUCACCUUCGUCAGUGAUCUGCUCCAGACUUCAAAGGUCACUGAGGGGUGCGUGUGUGUUUAUCUUCUGCUGCACUUGGAUUGGGUUUUUAUCUUUUUAACCUUUUGAAGACAAAGAGGACUUGUUUAUUAUCUUAAGAGCAUCUGGAUUUGGGCUGGGGCCGGCUGAUGGAAAUAUAAACAAGGCAUCUCCACUCGUCUGGGGGACACGGACACACACACACGCACGGAUGUUGAUUAUAGCUUGUGGCUACUGUUUUGGAGCGAGGAGCAGAGAAGUGGUGUGCGGACUUGGCAAGCUCUCACGUGUCCUAAUUCUUCUCUCUCGCUCUCGCUCUUUCUCACUGCGGUGAACUUCAGCCCGAUGACGCUGCUUGUCCUCUGACGCAUCAUGGCUGCGAGUUGGGCGUCCUGCUGACCUCGCCUCGCCACACCGUCCGCUGACACCCUGCUGACUAAGACCACACCAUGUCCAAUCUGACUUGCGGCUCCGCUUGCGUCCUAAAGGCUUUACUGCUUUAAGUGGAGUUUGUUGAUGUAAUUUAGUUUGAGAGGAAGGGACAUGGCAGUAGCCCAGACACUCGGAGGAGAAACGUUUCAUUUUUGCGUCCAGCUAGAAGUGUUUUUUCUUUAUUCGUGAUUACCCAGUGGAUGAGCAUGUAGGUUCAGCAAGCAGAGAAAGAUAAUACACAGUGUGAACGUUUAAUGUAACACGCCCGACAGCGUGACGCACCUCCAUGCUGUAACUGUAGUAUGUGCUUCUGAAUCUCACCGCGUGCCGAAUACACACAGCUGCGAGUAGAAAGAUUUUUAUUAUGCAGAUUAUAUAGAGUGCAUGGAUGACUUUUCCAAAUCAGGAACACGCAGGUGUGCGUAGACACUGACGAAUCUGCGCCGAAUAAAGUCCGGUGUAAAGCGAAUAUAUAUAUAUAUGAUCUCCUGCUGGCGUAAGACUCGCAGUCACGUUAUGUCUACUUGGGGUGCAAAGAGAGAAUGCCAAAGCUCAUCACCGAAACAUCCAUCAAUGACUUGGUGGCUUUUAGUUGAGGUCGUCAUAUGUGGAAGGUCAUAUAAAGCAAAAAAUCCCUUAGGUAAGUAAUCAUUUGAGAGCUACAAUGACAAGCUACUUACAUUUGUAGUCAAAAGUUGGCUGACGGUUCGUCCUCCUUUUUAUUUAUUUAUUUAUUUAUUUUUCUUUUCGUGCUGAGAGGCUUCAGGAAACAGGGCAUCACUUCCAGUAAGGGAACGUAGUGAGCAUCGAUGCUCCCUGGUUUUUUGCAAUGCAUUGUGGGAUUUUUUUUCAGGGAGUGGACGUUCAAGAAAGAUUUUGCAGUUGAGACGGCGCUUAAAAUGGCUGACUCCCUGGUCAGUGCCUGACUACUGAACUAGUGGAGCUGAUUGAGGCACGGGGUUAGCGUGCUGGGACACGGGGUUAGUUGUGCUGGACACGGGGUUAGCGUGCUGAGACACGGGGUUAGCGUGCUG
This is a long non-coding RNA of Ictalurus punctatus (channel catfish), 8407 nucleotides long. The record is from Ensembl. NCBI's taxonomy places the organism in Eukaryota, Metazoa, Chordata, Actinopteri, Siluriformes, Ictaluridae.